UGGGGAAUAUUGGACAAUGGGCGAAAGCCUGAUCCAGCCAUGCCGCGUGUGUGAAGAAGGUCUUCGGAUUGUAAAGCACUUUAAGUUGGGAGGAAGGGCGGUAAGCGAAUACCUUGCUGUUUUGACGUUACCGACAGAAUAAGCACCGGCUAACUCUGUGCCAGCAGCCGCGGUAAUACAGAGGGAGCAAGCGUUAAUCGGAAUUACUGGGCGUAAAGCGCGCGUAGGUGGUUCGUUAAGUUGAAUGUGAAAGCCCCGGGCUCAACCUGGGAACUGCAUCCAAAACUGGCGAGCUAGAGUAGGGCAGAGGGUGGUGGAAUUUCCUGUGUAGCGGUGAAAUGCGUAGAUAUAGGAAGGAACACCAGUGGCGAAGGCGACCACCUGGGCUCAUACUGACACUGAGGUGCGAAAGCGUGGGGAGCAAACAGG
This 429-nucleotide ribosomal RNA is filed under the name Pseudomonadota bacterium. Its description in RNAcentral is "Proteobacteria bacterium partial 16S ribosomal RNA". It matches the Rfam family "Bacterial small subunit ribosomal RNA", at positions 355 to 776 of the family's 1533-position model. The record is from RNAcentral. Lineage: Bacteria; Pseudomonadati; Pseudomonadota.